CGUAGAUUUUUUCAUCUCAACAUACAUAUCACACUGUGACGGAUUUCGUUCUAAACUCGAUGUUGUUUUCUGUUGUCUAACUUUUUAGGGAAGCCUUAGUUAGUUAUAUAGUGUUGCGUUAGUUGUAUUAUUAUAAGCUUUUGAAAUGCUAUUAUUUUUCUCUGGAAGGAAAUGUUUCUAGUUACGCUAAGGAUUAUUUGACGUAUUUUCGUUUCAAUCCAGUUAAAGGUUUUUGAAUCG
Non-coding RNA from Cinara cedri, 240 nucleotides. NCBI's taxonomy places the organism in Eukaryota, Metazoa, Arthropoda, Insecta, Hemiptera, Aphididae. The record is from the annotation of a GenBank genome assembly.